AUUGAACGCUGGCGGCAUGCCUUACACAUGCAAGUCGAACGGUAACAGGUCUUCGGAUGCUGACGAGUGGCGAACGGGAGAGUAAUACAUCGGAACGUGCCUAGUAGUGGGGGAUAACUACUCGAAAGAGUGGCUAAUACCGCAUGAGAUCUACGGAUGAAAGCAGGGGAUCGCAAGACCUUGUGCUACUAGAGCGGCCGAUGGCAGAUUAGGUAGUUGGUGGGAUAAAAGCUUACCAAGCCGACGAUCUGUAGCUGGUCUGAGAGGACGAUCAGCCACACUGGGACUGAGACACGGCCCAGACUCCUACGGGAGGCAGCAGUGGGGAAUUUUGGACAAUGGGCGCAAGCCUGAGCCAGCAAUGCCGCGUGCAGGAUGAAGGCCUUCGGGUUGUAAACUGCUUUUGUACGGAACGAAAAGCCCCGGGUUAAUACCCUGGGGUCAUGACGGUACCGUAAGAAUAAGCACCGGCUAACUACGUGCCAGCCGCCGCAGUAA
RNAcentral lists this ribosomal RNA (498 nucleotides) under uncultured bacterium. Its description in RNAcentral is "partial 16S ribosomal RNA". It matches the Rfam family "Bacterial small subunit ribosomal RNA", at positions 30 to 523 of the family's 1533-position model. The record is from RNAcentral.